RNAcentral lists this ribosomal RNA (465 nucleotides) under Vreelandella stevensii. RNAcentral's name for it is "partial 16S ribosomal RNA". It matches the Rfam family "Bacterial small subunit ribosomal RNA", at positions 338 to 795 of the family's 1533-position model. Lineage: Bacteria; Pseudomonadati; Pseudomonadota; Gammaproteobacteria; Oceanospirillales; Halomonadaceae. The record is from RNAcentral.
CCUACGGGUGGCAGCAGUGGGGAAUAUUGGACAAUGGGGGCAACCCUGAUCCAGCCAUGCCGCGUGUGUGAAAAAGGCCCUCGGGUUGUAAAGCACUUUCAGUGAGGAAGAACGCCUGGUGGUUAAUACCCAUCAGGAAAGACAUCACUCACAGAAGAAGCACCGGCUAACUCCGUGCCAGCAGCCGCGGUAAUACGGAGGGUGCGAGCGUUAAUCGGAAUUACUGGGCGUAAAGCGCGCGUAGGUGGCUUGAUAAGCCGGUUGUGAAAGCCCCGGGCUCAACCUGGGAACGGCAUCCGGAACUGUCAAGCUAGAGUGCAGGAGAGGAAGGUAGAAUUCCCGGUGUAGCGGUGAAAUGCGUAGAGAUCGGGAGGAAUACCAGUGGCGAAGGCGGCCUUCUGGACUGACACUGACACUGAGGUGCGAAAGCGUGGGUAGCAAACAGGAUUAGAUACCCUGGUAGUC